Molecule: ribosomal RNA, 447 nt
Filed under: uncultured bacterium
Lineage: Bacteria
Description: bacterial SSU rRNA
Rfam family: Bacterial small subunit ribosomal RNA
Source: RNAcentral
UCGGGAAUUUUGGGCAAUGGGCGAAAGCCUGACCCAGCAGCGCCGCGUGAAGGAUGAAGUAUUUCGGUAUGUAAACUUCGAAAGAAUAGGAAGAAUAAAUGACGGUACUAUUUAUAAGGUCCGGCUAACUACGUGCCAGCAGCCGCGGUAAUACGUAGGGACCAAGCGUUGUUCGGAUUUACUGGGCGUAAAGCGCGUGUAGGCGGGUCGUUAAGUUGGGGGUGAAAUCCCGAGGCUCAACCUCGGAACUGCCUUCAAAACUGGCGACCUGGACCUAAGUAGAGGCAAGUGGAAUUGCGAGUGUAGAGGUGAAAUUCGUAGAUAUUCGCAGGAACACCAGUGGCGAAGGCGACUUGCUGGACUUAUGGUGACGCUGAGACGCGAAAGCGUGGGGAGCAAACAGGAUUAGAUACCCACGUAGUCCCUGAGCGGGCUGGCAAGGCGCAU